RNAcentral lists this unclassified non-coding RNA (380 nucleotides) under uncultured fungus. Its description in RNAcentral is "partial contains 5.8S ribosomal RNA, internal transcribed spacer 2, and large subunit ribosomal RNA". Lineage: Eukaryota; Fungi. The record is from RNAcentral.
AACGCAAAUGGCGCUCUCUGGUAUCCCGGGGAGCAUGCCUGCUUGAGAACCGUAAAGAAUUAAUCACUGGAAGGAAUUCCUCAUCGGGUUUUCUUUUUGGUGGAGUUGGAUCACCGGACGGCGGGCAAACAUGUCUGGUAGUUUUUGUGAUCCCAAAGAUAUGUUUGUUUACUGGGGUGGAAAAGAACGGUUUUGUUUUCCCCUAAGGCGAGGAUAAUGAAGGAAGGGAGGGGAGAGAGGGACACUUGUCUUUUUUUCGAACCUUCUCUUUUAUUUAACAGCCGAUAGGUGUUGGAAAACCGUGAUGUUGUUGUAUUUUUUCAACAUUUUAUCCAUCCGAUCAUGGUCUCAAAUCAGGCAAGAGAACCCGCUGAACUUAA